Molecule: long non-coding RNA, 2532 nt
Organism: Pan troglodytes (chimpanzee)
Lineage: Eukaryota; Metazoa; Chordata; Mammalia; Primates; Hominidae
Exons: 3
Source: RefSeq, a predicted model, not a curated record
CUUUGCAUUCGGUCAAAAUUGUUACAAAGUUCAGCUGGAAGUUUCCUUCCCUGUGUGGUUUCUUCCUGGUUCCUCUGGCAGCCCUCCCCAAGGACUUCUGUAAGACAAAGUCGGAAGUGACUUCCUGGGGACCGAGAGCCCACAGGGGUCUUCCUACUGCUUCUUCUACCCCUGUAUUUCACUCAGCUCUCUAAAUUUGUCUCAGCUCCAGGAAGGCAGGGAUUUCAACCUGGGCAACAAGUCCACAGAACAUGAGAUUUCUGAAGGUGUGUGGGAUACAUCAUGGUUACAUAAAAAUCCUUUCACUAUAGUUCCUACUUCCCUAUCUUCAAAAUGAUUCCCUGAAGACUUCUGCCAUGGCGGUCUAAAGCCUAACCUCUGACCUGUGGAUGGAAAAUUGAACUCCUUGAUGUGAUCUCUGCACAUCAUGCAACCCUAAACCUAAAUAUUCUCUGUGUGGGAGCCCCAUUAUGUUCCUUUUUAGUCUAAUACAUUUUAAGUCUUCUUAAAAAAUUAUAUUUUGUUUUCUUUUAUAUGGUCGAUUUUACCUUGUUUUCUUUGACUAUUACUUGUUGUCUUAUAUGAGAUUCUACUGGUCUCAAGGCUUAAACCUCACAAUCUUCAGGGUCUGAUGGAUUUCUCUCUAUUUUCUAAGUUCCCUGGGAUAUGUUUGAUGAGUUUUUGUGGCAGAGAAGCAGAGAAAGGAGAAAGGUGAUGUCUAUACUACUUCCUUUUUCUCCCCAGCCACAAAUGCCAGAGUCUAUAAAGAGACCCUGAGAAGCAAGCUCUGUGCAGAGUCACUUCUAAGAAAUACCAGGAUAAAAUGUAGGUGAGAGACAUUUGUGUGAAAAAAGGGAUGAGAGAGAGGAGGAAGGAUUGAGAAAAUUUUCAAGGCAGAAAGGGACCUAUAUCUUCUAAUUUGGCAAAAUGGGAGAGGUAGGUAGGAGAUGGGAACGCUCUCUUAUCUAUCUCGCCUUUUGGAUGGAGAUUAAUAACACAGCCCAGGAGAAAGUGAUCCUUAGGAAGCCCAAAUGACUGAAAACAGCCCUGGAGUAUACCAAUUGGACAAGUUGGGGCGAAGGAGACCUAGUUAUUGUAAUACAUAGGUAGAGAUUGUGGUUGUGAGACUGUUGGGUGAUUAACUCAUAGAUGUUCCAAAGUCAUCUGUCAGCUAAAAUAGCUGUCAUUAGGAAUGCUUGAAAGGUUUCAAAGAAUACUUCAGUAGCAAUGAGCAUACCUAGGACCUAGAUCUGGGCUUCUAAAUCUCAUUCUCCACUAAAAGAACCUGGGUCUCCUUGCAAAAGUGGCUGAUUCCAGGUCCAGGGCAUGAAAAGUACAAAGUGAACUUGGAACAUUUCUGUGCCACAAAGCAAGAAAAUGGUCAAAGAAUAAAGGGGACAUGUUGCAAAGGACUCAGGAGCCUGCUUAAAGAGGCUUCCAUUAGCUACAUUUGAGAUAAUCUGAGUAUCAUCAUGACUAUUGAUGAUAAUGGAAUAUAACCCAGAUAACAAAAUAAAAAUCUGUAAGUCCAUACUAAUAUAAGUAAAUAAAUGAGGAAAUAAAUGAUGGAGAAGUGAACUCUCUUCCUUAUAGUAGAAUCCCAAAGAAUAAAGAUAGAGAAAAUGAUGGACUUGGAAAAUCACCAUUUGGCAGUCCCUAUAGUAAUAAUUGUUUCAGGUAAAAAUAAACGGAUUCGAAAAUCAGAGUAUGAUGAAAACCAGGAUACUUACUAUACAUUGUCUCAAAGUAUAUCUCUACAACAUAUUUAUUAAUUUCAAAGAAAAAACUUUCUUUACAUUGGAUAAACCUGAUAGAAAUCACCUCGACAAUAUGAUCAAAGUUCACAUCACCAAUAAUGGGACAUAGACAUCAUGUGCUUCCUGAGAAGGACAUAACAACAUUUCUAUGAUAUUUCUGUCAAAAAUGCAUAAUCUGAAUCUAAUCAUGAAGGGGUAAUCAGACUAACCCAAAUCAAAGGUUUGUCUACACAAUAACUAGUUUGAAUUAUUCAAAUACUGAGAUCAUGAAAUAAAAGAAAGAAUGAACUGUUUCAGAUUAAAGAAGACCAAACAGACAUGACAACCAAAUGUAACUUGUGAUUCUGGAUUUGUCCCUGGACAAUGUAAAGCACAUUAGUGGGGCAACUGGCAAAAUCUGCAUAUGUAAUUUGUCUACAAAUUGUCCACAAAUUGGAUAAUAGUUUUGGUAUUGGUAAUGGUAAUGAUAUUAUAUCAGUGUUAAUUGUCUGAUUUUGGUAAUUGCACUGUGAUUAUUGAAGAGAAUAUCAUGAUUUUUAGAAACUACAACUGCAGUAUGUAAAGCUAAAGAAAUAUUCUGUCUGAAAUUUGCUCUCUGGGACCUAUAUCUUCUAAUUUGGUGAAAUAGGUAGGAGAGGUAUGUAGGAGGAAUUUGUUUUAGGAAACAAAUUGUAUAUCUUUGUAUAUGUGAAUGACAAAGAAAGUGUGAUAAAACGAUAAUACUAGAGGAAUACUUGAGAUGUACAUGGAAAUUCUUUAUAUUAUUAUUACAACU